CCCUUAGAUGUUCUGGGCCGCACGCGCGCUACAAUGAUGAAUUCAACGAGUUUAUAACCUUGGUUGAAAAGCCUGGGUAAUCUUUUGAACUUUCGUCGUGAUGGGGCUAGACCCUUGCAAUUAUUAGUCUUGAACGAGGAAUUCCUAGUAAGCACAAGUCAUCAGCUUGUGUUGAUUACGUCCCUGCCCUUUGUACACACCGCCCGUCGCUCCUACCGAUUGAAUGUUCCGGUGAGCUCUUCGGACUGCGCGGUCUGCAGUUUCUGCGUUCCGUGCGGAAAGUUGCGCAAACCUUAACAUUUAGAGGAAGGAGAAGUCGUAACA
Molecule: ribosomal RNA, 324 nt
Filed under: uncultured eukaryote
Lineage: Eukaryota
Description: partial 18S ribosomal RNA
Rfam family: Eukaryotic small subunit ribosomal RNA
Source: RNAcentral